This 495-nucleotide ribosomal RNA is filed under the name uncultured bacterium. RNAcentral's name for it is "partial 16S ribosomal RNA". It matches the Rfam family "Bacterial small subunit ribosomal RNA", at positions 28 to 507 of the family's 1533-position model. The record is from RNAcentral.
GACGAACGCUGGCGGCGUGCCUAAUACAUGCAAGUAGAACGCUGAAGGAGGAGCUUGCUUCUCUGGAUGAGUUGCGAACGGGUGAGUAACGCGUAGGUAACCUGCCUGGUAGCGGGGGAUAACUAUUGGAAACGAUAGCUAAUACCGCAUAAGAGUAGAUGUUGCAUGACAUUUGCUUAAAAGGUGCAAUUGCAUCACUACCAGAUGGACCUGCGUUGUAUUAGCUAGUUGGUGGGGCAACGGCUCACCAAGGCGACGAUACAUAGCCGACCUGAGAGGGUGAUCGGCCACACUGGGACUGAGACACGGCCCAGACUCCUACGGGAGGCAGCAGUAGGGAAUCUUCGGCAAUGGACGGAAGUCUGACCGAGCAACGCCGCGUGAGUGAAGAAGGUUUUCGGAUCGUAAAGCUCUGUUGUAAGAGAAGAACGAGUGUGAGAGUGGAAAGUUCACACUGUGACGGUAUCUUACCAGAAAGGGACGGCUAACUACGUG